Misgurnus anguillicaudatus (oriental weatherfish) is the source of this 1607-nucleotide long non-coding RNA. RefSeq lists it as uncharacterized. The record is from RefSeq and is a predicted model, not a curated record. Lineage: Eukaryota; Metazoa; Chordata; Actinopteri; Cypriniformes; Cobitidae.
CCUCAGCCUGCCCUGAAAGCAUGCUGUAUUUGUGCGUUUUUUCUUUUGUUAACAUUAAAUUAUUUUCAAAAUAAAUGUCAAAGCAAUAAAUUUUUGUUUUUAACUUUUGAAAAGGAGUCUGAAAAUCUGCAUGAGGUAUUGGUUUCUUUAAUGAAGUGACGUUUAUUUUUUUAACGGAUGCAGAGGUGUUUGAGGAAAGGAAGAGGAUGUUCAGGGUCUUUGAUGAGCGUGUGGAGAGGCUGCUGAAGAAGUUGAAUGGGAAAGUCACAUAAAUGGAUGAAACCGUAAAUGGCAUGGAACAGGAGCUGUCUUAUUCUGCAGCAACCUUCCUUAGCUGGAUCAUCAGGAUUCUCUGGUCACUUUGGAGAUUGGAGUCAAGGGAUUUAUGCUGUACAGAAUGAACAAGAGCGGACAAUAGCAAUAGACUGCGGUGCGGAUCCGCACAAGAGGUAAAGCAGAGCUGCCGAAUACACCUCAAAGUUUAUUGCCAUCAAGGUCAGUUUCUCUUUUCCUCAACAAGCAUUUUUUUCCAAUUGUCAUUUGACUUAUAGUUAAAGAAGACAUGUCACAAUAACUUUUUAAGACGUAAAAUAAAUCUUUGGUGUCCCCAGAGUACACAUGUGAAGUUUUAGCUCAAAAUACCAUAGAUCAUGUAUUAUAACAUGUUAAAAUUGCCACUUUGUAGGUGCGAGCAAAAAUGUGCCGUUUUGGGUGUGUCCUUUUAAAUGCAAAUGAGAGGAUGAAGUGCAAACACUGAACACAAUGAUGGUGGUUUGAUGCAAUUCAAACUCAAUUGUGCUGUCAAUUCUUUUUUCUUUCUCUCAGCCCUAAAUGGCAGUGCUGUGGUUGGAUAAUGCCGCCCCUUAAUUUGCACUAUUAUAACAAGAGCUCCUUAUGACAUCACAAGGAGAGACAAAUUUCAAUGACCUACAUUUUUACGUGCUACAGAGAAUGGUUUACCAAAACUAAGUUACUGGGUUGUUCUUUUCCACAUUUUCUUGGUUGAUAGAAGCACUGGGGACCCAAUCAUAGCACUUAAACAUGGAAAAAGUCAGAUUUUCAUGCCAUGGCCCCUUUAACAAUACAUUUUUGAUUGCAUUUGAUGUAGUUUCGAUAUUAAGUUUUUAUAUACAACCACUGAUAUUAUUAUAGACACAAAUGAUUAGUAGGGCAUUACAACAGCAUUAGCAGCGCAAAGGUUGUUGGCUGUAUUCUUAGGACACACAUAUAAAACAUAUAUCAUAAAAAAUAUAACUUUUUAUUAACCAGUUAAUAUUACUUCAAACAUUUAACCUUCUCAAACAGUUUGUACUUAGGAGAAGGUCAUCAAAAGGUAGCAAAUAACAGCAAUAUAGCAAGUCAAAAUUCCAUCUCCAGUAAAAUAGUUUAUUCUGUUUUUCACAGAAAUAGGAAAUGCAACAAACUGAACAUGAAUUUAUUACUAGAAAACACUGGUUUGUGGUUGUGGAUUAAAAUCUGAAUGAGUACAAAAGUGUAUUACAUAUUUUUCUAUGAAAGAUUUAAAUACAUACUCUAAUAACUUACUUUAAACACACAGUUAAAAUAUCACUCAGUUCUAACUGAACCAACUCAUAGGAUUAGAUUAU